UGAACAGCUGACAAAACUUGAAAAACAGCAACAAAGAAAAGAGAAGACCAGAACCAAGGUGCCCUCUGAGUCAAGUAGAGAAAGAAAUGCCCCCCGUAACAAGGAUGACCCCAGCGCAAGCAGUGGAGCAGAAGGAGAUGUGUCUUCAGAAAGAGAGCCUUAGCUCAUCCAAAGCAGGCCUCAGUUCCUCAUACAAAAGCUACACUGGAUUCUUGAAGAGAGACCCAACAUUCACCUCAGCACCACUCUUCAACGACUUUGGAAAAGAAUGGAAAAUGGGAAAACAGAACUAAGACAUUCGAAACCUAUAUCAUUCUGUAUUGAAACAACCAAAGCAAUGCUAUCAGAUUCAGUUGUUAAUGUGUAGUAUCAGUAGUAAAAAGGACUUGUAACAUUUUUGUGUAUGUGUUUUCACAUGACUGCUGAAUAAAGGGUGACUGUAGGCAGAUUGUAGCAGAACAUUCACUAUCAGUACAUAAGCUCCAUUUCAAAGAUAAAUCAGGGUUUUUCCUUAAACUUACACUUGAAUUCUGAAAAUUAUCCAAGCAGGCUUGUAUUUUGAUUCUUACUCUAUGGUGUCAUGUGCUACCUGUUUCCAUGGCAGCGUGUAGAUCUGUGUGUAUUUUGGUAUAUUGUUCAGCUGCUACGUAACACCAAGUUAAGCAGUCCAGUCUUUCUGCAUGGAUUAAGUUAUUAAAAGGAAAGAUCAGCCACUAGUUGUUUAUCAUGUGGAACACAUCUGUCUUGUAAACUUUUUUAAAAACAGAAAAGACUUUAUUAAACAAAUGAUGCUAGCUGA
Balearica regulorum gibbericeps (East African grey crowned-crane) is the source of this 799-nucleotide non-coding RNA. The record is from RefSeq and is a predicted model, not a curated record. Lineage: Eukaryota; Metazoa; Chordata; Aves; Gruiformes; Gruidae.